This is a non-coding RNA of Salmo salar (Atlantic salmon), 1657 nucleotides long. Lineage: Eukaryota; Metazoa; Chordata; Actinopteri; Salmoniformes; Salmonidae. The record is from RefSeq and is a predicted model, not a curated record.
GGGGAGGCGGCUGAUUGAAACAGAAAGUGAAGUUGUUCUUUUGUUCAGGAUCCAUUUUGACACGACAGAGCAGAAAACAGUAUAUGGAGAUUAUUGAAAAAUAAAGGGUCAGUGCUCUAAAAUGAGUCUCUCUGGUGAGAGAGAGGAGGGGGGCCCUGCCUCUAAAAUGCAUCUCUCUGGGGGACAUGACACCAAAGCUAAGAGCGCCCGGCCCGGGAUUCAAACCAGCCACCUUUCGACCACAGGUCCAACUCCUGCCACAGCUCCAACUCCUUAGCCGCUGGGUGAAAACCUGAGUUAAUCUUCAGAAAUAAGCAUGAGUUAAUCUGACAAAAUGAAGACCAAAUGCUAUGCAGACAUACAUGGUAUCACUUGUUAUACAUAAUUAUUAGACAUAAAUCACUGCCAAAAGCACAAUACAUACUGUUGCAUGUAGGUCUAUAAUAUUUAUGGUUUGAUUAUAUAGAAAUAUCAAACAUUAUUUUUAACCACUCUUGUAAGGGGUGCGUAACUGGUGGCAGUGAAGUCAGACACAGGAGAGCAGAUCUAAGUAAUAGCCGGAGCAGUUUAAUUUCAAAUCCAAUGUCAUAAAGAAAUAACCAACAUGAGUACAAAACCUGACACGCACCAGUAAACACGUGCACAAGCACUUACAACAAACAAUUCCACACAAAGACAUGGUGGGGAACAGAGGGUUAAAUACACAACACGUAAUGAUGGAAAUGAGAACCAGGUGUGUAGGAAAACAAGACAAAACAAAUGGAAAAUGAAAAGUGGAUCGAAGAUGGCUAGAAGACUGGUGACGCCGACCGCUGAAUGCCGCCCGAACAAGGAGAGGAACCGACUUCGGUGGAAGUCAUGACAACUCCCAAAGCAAUUACAUGUGGCGCAGGAACCACUGACUCGAUGCAUUAUUCUAUAGUAUUAUCAAGACACCUGCUGUUAACUCUUAAAUACUUAGGACAGCUCACGAGUUGUCCUAAAUAUCUGCUGACUAGGUGGGACUAGAGACUUCAUGCAUAGCUUUAAUUUAUACCCAUAAGUGUAAAAUGUCUUUAUUCUCAGCACUUAUACGAACAAUUUUCUACUCUGAGACGCUUUGUGGAUAUGGGCCCAGUCCUCAAAAUAUUGUUAUAAAAAAACUUUGAAUGUUUGUUGAACAUAAUAAUAAAAAAAUGAAUAUUACUAAUGUAACCCACUGUGAAGACUGGGUUUAGUUGAUUGUGUUGCACUGAUCAUGUCCGCAUUCUGGAACUUCCCGCGUUCCCGAACAGAACUGCCUGCGUCCACGUCCAGUGUGGCGCCAAGCAUAUUGUCCGGAUAUGCGCAGAGUGGGCUGAGGUGAUCUUGGGGAACAACGACAGAGUUUGUUACAGUGUUGAAACGCCUAAUAUUAUUGUUCAAUUUGCUUUUUGCUUUACGGUCAGGGACAGUAUGAGUGUAGCUAGAUCCUUUUCACUCUCUAUCCUUGUUUCAAUUUGUGGUUCACUGGAUUUGUCAUCAUCCUCGAGAUGAGGGACAGACGAAUGACCUGCUAGCUGGCCAAGCUAGUCGGUACAGCUCGGUAAGCUAGCUAGCUACUCUACCAGCAGCAUCCUAGUUAUCCAAGCUAGUCGGUACAGCUCGGUAAGCUAGCUAGCUACUCUACCAGCAGCAU